Molecule: long non-coding RNA, 202 nt
Organism: Lucilia cuprina (Australian sheep blowfly)
Lineage: Eukaryota; Metazoa; Arthropoda; Insecta; Diptera; Calliphoridae
Exons: 2
Source: RefSeq, a predicted model, not a curated record
AGAUUUAUUAUAAUUUAAAAACGGUGCAGGAAGUGGAGCUGAGAAUAUACACUUCGGAGUUUAAUCUAUUUGUGACAAUUUAUUUCCACAAAUUAAAAGGAGCAUAGGAGGAUUUUACAUUCUGUGAGGUAUGUAAAAUGGUGAAAUGAUAGUUAAUUUAUGUAUAUUAAUAAAAUUAAAAAUAUAUGUCUUAAAAUGUUAA